CCGUCACCGCCGUCGCCCCUCCAACAGCUGCCAACCCCACCGGUGCCUGAGCCAUCGUCACCAACCCUGCCGUCAACCGAGCCACCCGCCGUUGCUCCUUCUACCAUCACCAUGCCCGGCGCCGUCCCUGCCGCCGUCGGCAUAUGCAUCCCCGCCGUUGCCCGAGCUACCGUCGCCAUAUGCAUCCCUGCCGUCACCGCUGCCGCCAUCACCUCUGCCACCGUCGCCAACCCCGCCAUCGCCCUAGCAACCCGACGUCACCCCUUCCAACAUCACCGUCACCGCCGUCGCCCCUCCAACAGCUGCCAACCCCACCGGUGCCUGAGCCAUCGUCACCAACCCUGCCGUCAACCGAGCCACCCGCCGUUGCUCCUUCUACCAUCACCAUGCCCGGCGCCGUCCCUGCC
This 407-nucleotide long non-coding RNA is filed under the name Volvox carteri. RNAcentral's name for it is "long non-coding RNA (VCAR_LNC004034)". Lineage: Eukaryota; Viridiplantae; Chlorophyta; Chlorophyceae; Chlamydomonadales; Volvocaceae. The record is from RNAcentral.